RNAcentral lists this unclassified non-coding RNA (472 nucleotides) under Hevea brasiliensis (rubber tree). The record is from RNAcentral. Lineage: Eukaryota; Viridiplantae; Streptophyta; Magnoliopsida; Malpighiales; Euphorbiaceae.
AAUAAUAAUAAUAAUAAUAAUUCCACAACAAAAUGAGAAAUUAAAAAAAAAAUUAUUUUUUGCUGGUAAUGAAGGAAAAAUCUUUUCUUGGUCCAUUCAGCAAUUUAAUUACCAAGAUUCCCGUGUCAUGCUCUGUAUUGCAAAAGGACAAGUUUCUGAGAAAUUCCCCUACUCCCCCAAUUAUUUUGCAAGCCAAUUGUGGAUCUAAAUUAACUGUGAAUCUAAACUUGAAAAAAUAAGCAAUUCAUCAUGGUAUACCUGGUGCUGCUGUUGCUACUGCUACUUCUGCUGCUGCUGUCACCGCUUUUUGAGCUUCCACUAUUGCCACUAAAUCCACCAUUUUCAGUCUCUCCAGUCUCCAAGAAUUUUUGCUUCCACCACUCAUUUUCUACAACUUUUGCAGAUCCAUCUAAUAGCAGAGGCUUUGGAGACACAGUUCCAUCUCUUGUACUAUUAGUCAUUGCUAAAUUAU